Molecule: long non-coding RNA, 1251 nt
Organism: Emys orbicularis (European pond turtle)
Lineage: Eukaryota; Metazoa; Chordata; Testudines; Emydidae
Exons: 3
Source: RefSeq, a predicted model, not a curated record
CCCGUUCGGGGCGGCAAGAGGCCACCGCGUCAGUGAGAGACCCUACCCUCUCUGCCUCGACCGCCGGUGUAGUAGCCCAAACUCAAACUGCUCCCUGGCAGAAUUUCCUGUGCCACUACACCGGCGCUGCGGUUAGUGAGUCGCAAAGGAUGACAGCUGGAAAGAUCUAAGAAAGGACGAAAGACACCGGGGGGAAGAUGAGCCCUGUCUGGAAAAGGGAUCUGGUCUCUGAAGAUUUAAGCUGCAAGCAGGGUAGCUAACCUGCAUUCUGCCCAAAAGCAACAUUUAGGGAAGAGGCUACCCUUUCACCAACCUACCCAGAAGGGUUCUCCGUUGGCCACCUUAAGGAGGACAGAAGAGGAAUUAGAAGGGAAAGGAGGAAAUACCAAGGAUGAAGGGUACCAGGGAGAGAUGAGAUAUUGAAUUGAGAGAAGAAACCAGCAUCUGUACACAAGGUUUUGGGGAUGACUGCAUAAGAAGCAGAGAAUGGAGAAGGAAACAUCUGAAAAACACACAAAUUCCUUUAAAAAUUAAAAAAGAGAAAGUAGAGAAACAGAAGGAACAAAUAAAUAAGGCAAUACUGAAGAGGAUAUAGGUAUUUAGAAAAAACAGGGCUCAUAAGGGACUGGGUAGAAACUGCAUAGUUAACUAUAGUUCUAGUUCAAACGUAUAGAUCUUAAUCAGAAUAUGUAAAACAGUAUAAGAACCUCCAAGCUAGCUUUAGCUCGACAGUGUUAUUUACAUUUCAAUUUGAUGUAUCAUACAUCACCACCUUAUUGUAGUACAAAAAUUACCCAGCAUAGGAUCCAAGUGAUGGCAUUUUAAAAACAAAUAUACCUGGAAGCAGGUUUGGGCAAGCUAAUGUAUUCAUAGGACAGCAUUAAUCCAUUUCAGCAUCAUCUUUAAUGUUGUCUUAUUUUAGAUGACCGUCCAGGUUCCCAGGAGAACAAUGGCAAAAAGAUAUUUACAGUUCUGCAUAGUAUUUAAAUUCAGAGGGGCAUUGCAACCUAUUUGAAAUUCAGAUUAACUAGGAAUGACUAUUUGCAUCUGGCUGCAGAACAAUAGCUGCUACAUAAAGGACUAUUACACAUGUAUACCUGCCUCUUAACAGAAGAAACUUUCAAAAAUUAUAUACUAGAUUUGCCACAAUAUUUUCUAGCCCGUGUCGCACAGUUAAUACUUUCUUUUGUUACUGAUUUAGGAAGCACUCUGGACAUUUGUUUCUCCCAUCAGUGAAAAUUGAAUAUAUUC